RNAcentral lists this ribosomal RNA (403 nucleotides) under Verrucomicrobiota bacterium. RNAcentral's name for it is "Verrucomicrobia bacterium partial 16S ribosomal RNA". It matches the Rfam family "Bacterial small subunit ribosomal RNA", at positions 355 to 776 of the family's 1533-position model. The record is from RNAcentral. Lineage: Bacteria; Pseudomonadati; Verrucomicrobiota.
UGGGGAAUAUUGCACAAUGGGCGCAAGCCUGAUGCAGCAACGCCGCGUGAACGAUGAAGGUCUUCGGAUCGUAAAGUUCUGUUGCAGGGGAAGAUAAUGACGGUACCCUGUGAGGAAGCCCCGGCUAACUACGUGCCAGCAGCCGCGGUAAAACGUAGGGGGCUAGCGUUAUCCGGAUUUACUGGGCGUAAAGGGUGCGUAGGUGGUCUUUCAAGUCGGUGGUUAAAGGCUACGGCUCAACCGUAGUUAGCCUCCGAAACUGGAAGACUUGAGUGCAGGAGAGGAAAGUGGAAUUCCCAGUGUAGCGGUGAAAUGCGUAGAUAUUGGGAGGAACACCAGUAGCGAAGGCGGCUUUCUGGACUGCAACUGACACUGAGGCACGAAAGCGUGGGUAGCAAACAGG